GCAUAUCAAUAAGCGGAGGAAAAGAAACCAACAGGGAUUACCUCAGUAACGGCGAGUGAAGCGGUAACAGCUCAAAUUUGAAAUCUGGGUCUUUCAGGCCCCGAGUUGUAAUUUGUAGAAGAUGCUUCGGGUGCGGCUCCGGUCUAAGUUCCUUGGAACAGGACGUCAUAGAGGGUGAGAAUCCCGUAUGUGAUCGGUUGCCUGCGCCCGUGUGAAGCUCUUUCGACGAGUCGAGUUGUUUGGGAAUGCAGCUCAAAAUGGGUGGUAAAUUUCAUCUAAAGCUAAAUAUUGGCCAGAGACCGAUAGCGCACAAGUAGAGUGAUCGAAAGAUGAAAAGCACUUUGGAAAGAGAGUUAAACAGUACGUGAAAUUGUUGAAAGGGAAGCGCUUGCAACCAGACUUGCGCGUUGCUGAUCAUCCGGGGUUCUCCCCGGUGCACUCGGCCUCGCUCAGGCCAGCAUCGGUUCUGGUGGUGGGAUAAAGGCCUUGGGAAUGUAGCUCCCCUCGGGGAGUGUUAUAGCCCUCGGUGCAAUGCCGCCUACCGGGACCGAGGACCGCGCUUCGGCUAGGAUGCUGGCGUAAUGGUUGUAAGCGACCCGUCUUGAAACACGGACCAAGGAGUCUAACAUCUAUGCGAGUGUUUGGGUGUCAAACCCAUACGCGUAAUGAAAGUGAACGGAGGUGAGAACCCUUAAGGGUGCAUCAUCGACCGAUCCUGAUGUCUUCGGAUGGAUUUGAGUAAGAGCAUAGCUGUUGGGACCCGAAAGAUGGUGAACUAUGCCUGAAUAGGGUGAAGCCAGAGGAAACUCUGGUGGAGGCUCGCAGCGGUUCUGACGUGCAAAUCGAUCGUCAAAUUUGGGUAUAGGGGCGAAAGACUAAUCGAACCAUCUAGUAGCUGGU
RNAcentral lists this ribosomal RNA (900 nucleotides) under Coleophoma proteae. RNAcentral describes it as "eukaryotic LSU rRNA". It matches the Rfam family "Eukaryotic large subunit ribosomal RNA", at positions 38 to 955 of the family's 3401-position model. Lineage: Eukaryota; Fungi; Ascomycota; Leotiomycetes; Helotiales; Dermateaceae. The record is from RNAcentral.